UGCAGUCGAGCGGACAGAUGGGAGCUUGCUCCCUGAUGUUAGCGGCGGACGGGUGAGUAACACGUGGGUAACCUGCCUGUAAGACUGGGAUAACUCCGGGAAACCGGGGCUAAUACCGGAUGGUUGUCUGAACCGCAUGGUUCAGACAUAAAAGGUGGCUUCGGCUACCACUUACAGAUGGACCCGCGGCGCAUUAGCUAGUUGGUGAGGUAACGGCUCACCAAGGCGACGAUGCGUAGCCGACCUGAGAGGGUGAUCGGCCACACUGGGACUGAGACACGGCCCAGACUCCUACGGGAGGCAGCAGUAGGGAAUCUUCCGCAAUGGACGAAAGUCUGACGGAGCAACGCCGCGUGAGUGAUGAAGGUUUUCGGAUCGUAAAGCUCUGUUGUUAGGGAAGAACAAGUGCCGUUCAAAUAGGGCGGCACCUUGACGGUACCUAACCAGAAAGCCACGGCUAACUACGUGCCAGCAGCCGCGGUAAUACGUAGGUGGCAAGCGUUGUCCGGAAUUAUUGGGCGUAAAGGGCUCGCAGGCGGUUUCUUAAGUCUGAUGUGAAAGCCCCCGGCUCAACCGGGGAGGGUCAUUGGAAACUGGGGAACUUGAGUGCAGAAGAGGAGAGUGGAAUUCCACGUGUAGCGGUGAAAUGCGUAGAGAUGUGGAGGAACACCAGUGGCGAAGGCGACUCUCUGGUCUGUAACUGACGCUGAGGAGCGAAAGCGUG
This 724-nucleotide ribosomal RNA is filed under the name Bacillus sp. (in: firmicutes). RNAcentral describes it as "bacterial SSU rRNA". It matches the Rfam family "Bacterial small subunit ribosomal RNA", at positions 56 to 763 of the family's 1533-position model. Lineage: Bacteria; Bacillati; Bacillota; Bacilli; Caryophanales; Bacillaceae. The record is from RNAcentral.